Molecule: long non-coding RNA, 1618 nt
Organism: Panonychus citri (citrus red mite)
Lineage: Eukaryota; Metazoa; Arthropoda; Arachnida; Trombidiformes; Tetranychidae
Exons: 3
Source: RefSeq, a predicted model, not a curated record
GGACCAUUUGGUUAACGUCCAAAUGAUCGCCAAGUUGGACCUUAACCUUGACAAACUUAGUAUCAACCCCUGAGGUUUCAAUUUUGAAACAUUCUGAGGCUGAAAUUAAGUGAAAGAAAAUUAAACAAUAAGAUUAAACAAAGAUAAAUGGAUAAUACUAAUCUCUUUAGUUUGAAUCAUGUCGAAAUAAUUUCUGGAGGAAAGUGUCGAGGUGAUAAGAUGAUGAAAAUUGAAUAACAAGAAUUGAGAUUAUCUUACCAGAUUUAAGUUGCUUGGAGAAAUCAGCGAUUUCCUCAUUGGUCCUUGGGUUAAUCAAAGUAACACGGACUUCCGCAUCAUCUUCAAUGUAUUCAUUAAGUGAGGUCAAGCAAAUUUGGUUAGAAGUGGGUGAAAGAAUUUGGGGUAAAGUCAAAAGAUAUCGUGGAGUUUGAAUGAUUUGUCUUCAUGGAACCACAAGCAGCGGAUAUAAGAAAAGAAAAGAACGAAAAAAAGAAAAACAAUUAAUCCAAUGUUGAAACGGAAAAGGAAAACAGAGAAAUGGAGAUAAUCUUAUUGAUUGAUUAAAGUUGUAGACCCGAUUACACACACAACUACACAGAGACACCAAUUAACAAGGAAAAUUAACAAAGAAACUUUUUCAAUGGUUGUUUCAACUUACUCAUUAGAGUGAAGUUUACCGUUAACCAGAACGGUGCUCACAAGGAGGCACGAUAGCCAAAAGAGAUUCAUCCUUUUCCUGUGAGGUACACUGAAAAAAGGAAUCAAUUGAAUGACGAGGCAAACUGAUUAAUUGGCCCUUUUAUACCCUGGACUUAAUUACAUUGCCAAGAGAGAUGAAGAUAAGGAGGAAGAGAAAGAAAGAAACGCAAAAAAAUGGAGACUCUUCAGUUAAUGAUGAAUUUACAGAAAACAAAUGAAGAGAUGAAGAUGAAGAUUAUGGUAAAGAGAAAGAGAAAAGUAAGAAUAUGAAAUCUUUCUCGAUUCAAUCAGAUCAAUAUUUCAAUCUGCUGAGUUAAUAUAAUCAUCGUGAUUAUCAUUAUCACUAAUCCAAGAUCACAAUUAAGAUGAUCUUAUUUCUAUCUCUUCAACUCUCAUCUUUCAUUGGUGUGAUGGUUAAUCGAAACAAUUAACGAGUCAUAUUGAUUAUUUUUCUUGGUGAAUUUUAAUUGUGAUUAAGUGAAAGUAACAAUUUUGACAAAGAAAACAAAGUUUAGCCAAACCGAUCAGUAAUCAACUAAACACUGGAACCAUUUUUUUUAUUGCAACUACCAAAAUAAUAAUCAAUUCUUAACCACUAAAUUUAAAACUAAUCACAAUUAGUGCUGAGAAAUAGCGAUAAUUGAACAAUUAAGGCGAAAGUUUUAAUUAUUAUAAUUUAAAAGGUUUUAACCUUUGAAAAUAAACUUCAACUUGAAUUUCAGUUGAUUUUUAUCAAUCAUUUCAAAAGGUGAAACUUUUUAUAUUUUAUUUGAUUGGAUUUUAAUUGCUACGUUAUGAUGAUGAUAUUUUCACCUCUAAUUGUUAACCAACAAUUAAAAAGGGAUAACAGUGACAUUGCCGUUUCUUUUUUGAAGGUAAAUGUGAUUAAAAAAAGAUAGAGGAUGAUGAAGGUAAUUAA